Molecule: long non-coding RNA, 1235 nt
Organism: Prinia subflava (tawny-flanked prinia)
Lineage: Eukaryota; Metazoa; Chordata; Aves; Passeriformes; Cisticolidae
Exons: 3
Source: RefSeq, a predicted model, not a curated record
UCUUAGCAAACACCACAUAAUAUGCAAUUUUGGCUACAGUGACUUGUAGCAUAUUUUUACUCCUGAAAUACAACCCUUCCGUUUUAGAUCUCCUUAAUCAUAGUGAUUUUGUGGAGAAUAACAAAUUUUCCAUUCCUAGACUUAAAACUUGACUUCUUUCCUUAUUUCCUUCAGCAUUAAUUAUCCCUCCUAAAAAUAGACAGCUGGGGUCCAAAAAUACCCAGUGGAGCCUUAAUGAAAGGCUUCUUGCAGGGAAGCCAACAGCCUGACCUGAUUUAUGCUCCCAGUGCUGUUGUUUGUGCAGACCCACCCUGCAGCAGGUUCCUGUUUCCAGGCUUGCCUCGUAUUUGCUCACCCAGUUACUCAGCGCAGCUGCCCGCGAGGGCAGGUGAAGUGGAAGCCAUCCCCUACCCAGCCUUGUGGGGAGGUUGCACAAGCUGGGGAGUGCGUGGCUGCUUCAAACCUCUGCCCCUGAGAGCAGCUCCUCUGUGCAGGGAGCAAGGGGCACAUAGGUCAUUUCUUUUGAGGGAUGUGCCAAGCUGCUGUGCCUGGGAGCACGGGUGUCUCCCUUGGCUGGCCCUGCGAGCUGGCAGCAGAGGAGGGAUGGCAUUCCUGAACAAAACUUUCUUCUUUCUUCUUCCUGUCGAGUCAUCCUGUUCCUCCCAGCAGGCUGCAGUUUGUACAGCAAUCCCAGAGAGGGAAAUCUUGGGAUUUGCUUUACGACUUCCAAAGUCAACAAAACGCUUGGAAGUUAAACUGAACCUGCAAGGCCUUGCAACUUCAUGGAUAAUUUCAAAAGCUUUGAGUUGGUUCCCAAACUCGGCUCUGAGGAGUGUCAACUAGCAAAGCAUGCCUUGAGUGGUGUUCCUUGAAAAGCCAGUGCAAUGAAUAUCCAGGUGGAUUACUUUGAAGCCAGAAAUUAUACACAGCAUGAAACAAACCAACAAACAAGUUUAUCAACCUCACAGAGAUUUUUGCAAUUGGAAGUUGGUUUUGGAGCAUCUUCAGCAUGAAGUGAGAAGACAGCUUGCUACUGAAAGCAGAGGGCAGCUCGAAGAAAGACAAGACUCCUGUUUGGACACUCCCCAACACAGGGUGUAUGAUCAGGAAAGCCAACAGUGGAAGAGUCCGGUACUACAUUCCAGUAUUGGGUUGGUUUCUGUGUUGUUUGCUUGUUUUUUAUUUUUUCCCCAGUGUGUGAAAGAACCUAAUAAAAACUUCUGAGUGCAAUUAUA